RNAcentral lists this unclassified non-coding RNA (839 nucleotides) under Hevea brasiliensis (rubber tree). Lineage: Eukaryota; Viridiplantae; Streptophyta; Magnoliopsida; Malpighiales; Euphorbiaceae. The record is from RNAcentral.
GCACAAGGUGGAAGAUAUCGCAGCUUGAUUUUUGGAGAUAAUUUAACUGAUGUUGUGAUAACAGGUAAUAAUGGAACUGUUGAUGGUCAGGGUUCUAUAUGGUGGGAGCAGUUCACUGCCCAUUCUUUAAAUUAUACUCGACCACACCUAGUAGAAUUUGUUAGCUCCAAAGAUGUUGUCGUCUCAAACUUGACCUUCCUGAAUGCUCCAGCCUGGAAUAUUCACCCGGUGUAUUGCAGUAAUGUUGUGGUUCAGAACAUAUCGGUUCAUUCUCCAGCUAACUCCCCAUAUACCUAUGGCGUAGUCCCAGAUUCUUCCGAGCAUGUGUGCAUUGAGACCAGCAAUAUUAGCAUGGGCCAUGAUGCUGUUGUUCUCAAAAGUGGUUGGGACGAGUACGGGAUUUCCUAUGGCAAACCUACUUCGAAUGUCCAUGUUCGAGGGGUUAGGCUGCAGUCUUUUGCAGGUGCUGGAAUGGCUUUUGGCAGUGAGAUGUCUGGUGGUAUCUCCAAUGUGCUGAUAGAGCAUGUUUACUUGUAUGACUCCCUUUUGGGGAUUGAGCUGAAGACUGCAAGAGGGAGAGGUGGUUAUAUCAAAGAUAUUCUUGUUACGGAUGUGGUUAUGGCAAAUGUGCAAGUGGGAAUUGAGGCCACAGGUCAUUAUGAUUCUCAUCCAGACGAGAAAUUUGAUCCGUCUGCACUUCCAGUUGUUAGUGGUAUCACCUUUGAGGACAUUGUUGGCACAAAUGUUUCUAUAGCAGGCAAUUUCACUGGAUUAUCAGAAUCUCCCUUUACUUCAAUAUGUCUGUCAAACAUCACUUUUUCCAUAUCUUACAACCCUUU